GACGAACGCUGGCGGCGUGCUUAACACAUGCAAGUCGAGCGGUAAGGCCUUUCGGGGUACACGCGCGGCGAACGGGUGAGUAACACGUGGGUGAUCUGCCCUGCACUUCGGGAUAAGCCUGGGAAACUGGGUCUAAUACCGGAUAUGACCUCCUAUCGCAUGGUGGGUGGUGGAAAGAUUUAUCGGUGCAGGAUGGGCCCGCGGCCUAUCAGCUUGUUGGUGGGGUAAUGGCCUACCAAGGCGACGACGGGUAGCCGACCUGAGAGGGUGACCGGCCACACUGGGACUGAGACACGGCCCAGACUCCUACGGGAGGCAGCAGUGGGGAAUAUUGCACAGUGGGCGAAAGCCUGAUGCAGCGACGCCGCGUGAGGGAUGACGGCCUUCGGGUUGUAAACCUCUUUCAGCAGGGACGAAGCGCAAGUGACGGUACCUGCAGAAGAAGCACCGGCUAACUACGUG
Molecule: ribosomal RNA, 462 nt
Filed under: uncultured bacterium
Lineage: Bacteria
Description: partial 16S ribosomal RNA
Rfam family: Bacterial small subunit ribosomal RNA
Source: RNAcentral